GACGAACGCUGGCGGCGUGCUUAACACAUGCAAGUCGAACGGUAAGGCCCCAGCUUGCUGGGGUACACGAGUGGCGAACGGGUGAGUAACACGUGGGUGACCUGCCCCGCACUUCGGGAUAAGCCUGGGAAACUGGGUCUAAUACCGGAUAGGACCGCACCGUGAGGGUGUGGUGGAAAGUUUUUCGGUGUGGGAUGGGCCCGCGGCCUAUCAGCUUGUUGGUGGGGUAAUGGCCUACCAAGGCGGCGACGGGUAGCCGGCAUGGGAGGGUGGACGGCCACAAUAGGACUGCGACACGGACCAGACUCCUACGGGAGGCAGCAGUGGGGAGUAUUGCACAAUGAGCGGAAGCCUGUUGCAGCGACGCCGCGUUGGGGAUGACGGCCUUCUGGGUGUAAACACCUUUCACCAUCGACGAAGGUUUUCUGACGGUAGAUAGAGAAGAAGCACCGGCUAACUACGUG
Molecule: ribosomal RNA, 464 nt
Filed under: uncultured bacterium
Lineage: Bacteria
Description: partial 16S ribosomal RNA
Rfam family: Bacterial small subunit ribosomal RNA
Source: RNAcentral